This 564-nucleotide ribosomal RNA is filed under the name uncultured bacterium. Its description in RNAcentral is "bacterial SSU rRNA". It matches the Rfam family "Bacterial small subunit ribosomal RNA", at positions 1 to 564 of the family's 1533-position model. The record is from RNAcentral.
CUCGAGGCCAGAUCUAGAGUUUGAUCCUGGCUGAGGACGAACGCUGGCGGCGUGCCUAAUGCAUGCAAGUCGAGCGACGCAACGGCGGUGGGUAACCACUGCCGUUGACGGAGCGGCGAACGGGUGAGUAACACGUGAGCAACCUGCCCCGAAGACCGGGAUAGCCCGGGGAAACCCGGAUUAAUACCGGAUGACCUCGAUGGAUCGCAUGAUCCGUCGAGCAAAAGCUUUCGCGCUUCGGGAUGGGCUCGCGGCCUAUCAGCUCGUUGGUGAGGUAACGGCUCACCAAGGCUACGACGGGUAGCUGGUCUGAGAGGAUGGCCAGCCACACUGGGACUGAGACACGGCCCAGACUCCUACGGGAGGCAGCAGCAGGGAAUCUUGCGCAAUGGGCGAAAGCCUGACGCAGCGACGCCGCGUGGGGGAUGAAGGCCUUCGGGUUGUAAACCCCUUUCAGGAGGGACGAAAUCGACGGUACCUCCAGAAGAGGCCCCGGCCAACUACGUGCCAGCAGCCGCGGUAAGACGUAGGGGGCAAGCGUUGUCCGGAUUUAUUGGGCGUAAA